This is a long non-coding RNA of Thalassophryne amazonica, 92 nucleotides long. RefSeq lists it as uncharacterized. The transcript has 3 exons. The record is from RefSeq and is a predicted model, not a curated record. Lineage: Eukaryota; Metazoa; Chordata; Actinopteri; Batrachoidiformes; Batrachoididae.
UGUGUAUGUGUGUGUGUGUGUGUGUGUGUGUGUGUAACUCAAUGCAAAAGCUGUAACAACAGACAGGUUCUGCUGCACUCGAGUGUAAGUGG